GAUGAACGCUGGCGGCGUGCCUAAUACAUGCAAGUCGAGCGAACAGAUAAGGAUCUUGCUCCUUUUACGUUAGCGGCGGACGGGUGAGUAACACGUGGAUAACCUACCUAUAAGACUGGGAUAACUUCGGGAACCCGGAUCUAAUACCGGAUAACAUAUUGAACCGCAUGGUUCAAUAGUGAAAGGCGGCUUUGCUGUCACUUAUUGAUGGUUCCUGGCCGUAUUAGCUAGUUGGUAAGGUAACGGCUUACCAAGGCAACGAUACGUAGCAGAACUGAGAGGAUGAUCAGUCACACUGGAACUGAGACACGGUCCAGACUCCUACGGGAGGCAGCAGUAGGGAAUAUUGCGCAAUGGGCGAAAGCCUGACGGAGCAACGCCGCGUGAGUGAUGAAGGUCUUCGGAUCGUAAAACACUGUUAUCAGGGAAGAACAAAUGUGAAAGAAACUGUGGACAUCUUGACGGUACCUAAAGAGAAAGCAACGGCUAACUACGUG
This 497-nucleotide ribosomal RNA is filed under the name uncultured bacterium. RNAcentral describes it as "partial 16S ribosomal RNA". It matches the Rfam family "Bacterial small subunit ribosomal RNA", at positions 28 to 507 of the family's 1533-position model. The record is from RNAcentral.